RNAcentral lists this ribosomal RNA (440 nucleotides) under uncultured bacterium. RNAcentral's name for it is "partial 16S ribosomal RNA". It matches the Rfam family "Bacterial small subunit ribosomal RNA", at positions 338 to 795 of the family's 1533-position model. The record is from RNAcentral.
CCUACGGGCGGCAGCAGUAGGGAAUAUUGCUCAAUGGGGGAAACCCUGAAGCAGCAACGCCGCGUGGAGGAUGAAGGUUUUCGGAUUGUAAACUCCUUUUGUUAGAGAAGAUAAUGACGGUAUCUAACGAAUAAGCACCGGCUAACUCCGUGCCAGCAGCCGCGGGAAUACGGAGGGUGCAAGCGUUACUCGGAAUCACUGGGCGUAAAGAGCGCGUAGGCGGGAUAGCAAGUCAGAUGUGAAAUCCUAUGGCUUAACCAUAGAACUGCAUUUGAAACUGUUAUUCUAGAGUAUGGGAGAGGUAGGUGGAAUUCUUGGUGUAGGGGUAAAAUCCGUAGAGAGCAAGAGGAAUACUCAUUGCGAAGGCGACCUGCUAGAACAUAACUGACGCUGAUGCGCGAAAGCGUGGGGAGCAAACAGGAUUAGAUACCCUAGUAGUC